AUUUUAUGCAGCAAUGGCAGCAAUUGACAAUUAUGUCAUGAUUAUGUCGUUGACACCUAUUUCCAUCCUAUUUCUUAGACGUUUUAUAUUAUAUCUUGUGUUUUAAUGGUGUAGCUUGUAGCUAAUUGCUUUUUGACCGUUUAGAUGAUUUAACAGAUGCACUGAAGUUAAUUUUCAUCUUACUAGAACAGCACAUCCUACAUAAUAAGAAGACUGUUGCAACUUGGUUGCAAUUUUCAGCAUCCUUCAGUUUAUGAAAUUCGUCAGUAAAUAUUCAUACAGUAAUUAGUGCAUUAAAUUAGAAAAGUACCUUUUUGUUACUAGUUACAGUUAUCAACCCUGUUUCAGGUUCUAUGAUGGAUCAGUGGUGCUCAUCAUUUAAACAGUCACAAUCAGAUUUAAAGUGUUUCCAAUUCUUGUUUGGCUUUCUCUCCACCCUUGUAAAACUUUGGAACGUUGCAUGCUGCAGUUAACUAAGAUCAAGAAAGUAGAGAUGACAAAGAAGACAUAGUCAGAAUGAGAAACACUAAAACAUGUUAUCUUUCUUCCUGUGUUUGCCUUACUCUUUACAUUUGGAAUGUUGCAUUCUGCAGUUAAUUAAGAUCAUUGGUGCAGAAGACAAACAGGACACCCACAUUUGAAUGUUUUUUUUUUUAUUCAAUCUUUUUCUGCAUGAUUUUUAAUUGAAUUAAUUUUUGGUUUGCAUGUUUU
This is a long non-coding RNA of Agrilus planipennis (emerald ash borer), 711 nucleotides long. RefSeq lists it as uncharacterized. The record is from RefSeq and is a predicted model, not a curated record. The transcript is spliced from 3 exons. NCBI's taxonomy places the organism in Eukaryota, Metazoa, Arthropoda, Insecta, Coleoptera, Buprestidae.